This 305-nucleotide ribosomal RNA is filed under the name uncultured bacterium. Its description in RNAcentral is "bacterial SSU rRNA". It matches the Rfam family "Bacterial small subunit ribosomal RNA", at positions 338 to 660 of the family's 1533-position model. The record is from RNAcentral.
CCUACGGGGCGCAGCAGUGGGGAAUAUUGCACAAUGGGGGAAACCCUGAUGCAGCAACGCCGCGUGAGUGAAGAAGUAUUUCGGUAUGUAAAGCUCUAUCAGCAGGGAAGAGAAUGACGGUACCUGACUAAGAAGCCCCGGCUAACUACGUGCCAGCAGCCGCGGUAAUACGUAGGGGGCGAGCGUUAUCCGGAUUUACUGGGUGUAAAGGGAGCGUAGACGGCCGUGCAAGUCUGAUGUGAAAACCCGGGGCUCAACCCCGGGACUGCAUUGGAAACUGCAUGGCUGGAGUGUAGGAGAGGCAA